Molecule: long non-coding RNA, 891 nt
Filed under: Nicotiana benthamiana
Lineage: Eukaryota; Viridiplantae; Streptophyta; Magnoliopsida; Solanales; Solanaceae
Description: long non-coding RNA (NBEN_LNC013762)
Source: RNAcentral
UAAACCAAACCACCCCUUCCUCAGUACAUACACUUCACAUAGAUUCUUUGUUUAUGCCUAGUAGUACUUUGCACGGCUAUUUCUACAAUUGCUGCCCAACUUCAGAUCUCUCCAAUUCUUUGACAUAAGCAUAAACAAACUAGUAAUUCAUUGUUUCUCUUCCCUUUUUUUGUUUUCUUCCUCCACCCCUUAUCUUAUACCAAGAAAAAGCCACAGAAAACCUGCGUCUGCACUAAAAAGAUCCAAUUUUGUUACUUUCUUCUAUUCUUUAGAAUUAUUGAUAGCUGCUGUCCAUUAAUUACACGUAGUUUGUAACUAUCUUCCUUCUACCUUCCUCUUUCUGCUGUUUCAUUGAUAUUAUCAGUGUAAAGUUAGAAGCUUUUGCAGGUUUUUUGACAACUUGGUCUCACGAGUUGGCUGAAUGAAUAGUACCCAUUAAUUCUUAUUGGUUGGUCAAGUUGUUUCUUUUGGUCUUUUUUGUGGGUCCUUUUUGUUCAUUUUUCAGUUUUCGCGUUUUUGGAUCCUUGGACGAUAAUUUCAGAGCCAUGUGUUUGGUACUAUCCCAACAAUAUCAUAUGUUAGUUUUCUUGCGUCUUUCUUAUCAUAAUUCUCAUUGAGGUUUUUUUUCCUUUCAUUUUUGGUCCUUAGCUUUCAACUGUUCAGUCUUCCUUUCUUUUUCUGUGUUUUCCUGAGAAUUUUGGUUUGUUAGUCUUCCUUUGGUCAAAAUAUCAUCAAAUUGCUAUUUCUAGAUUGUUCUUGGCUUCAAAGUUUGUGUCUUUAGCAGAAUCUUGUUCUUAGUUUUUUCUUUUUUGUGUGUGUGAUGGGGUCUUUGAGAUUUUUCUAUUUAGUAAUCAUAUUCUUGUUUUUCCUAUUUGUGCCUGAGACUUGUAU